Molecule: microRNA precursor, 147 nt
Filed under: Paramuricea clavata
Lineage: Eukaryota; Metazoa; Cnidaria; Anthozoa; Malacalcyonacea; Plexauridae
Source: RNAcentral
UAUAGCCCUGUGAAGUUUGCAAAUUUUGUAUAUAUUUGUAUUACGCGCGGUAAAAAUAACCACUUUCGGCUGAAAAAUGGUCAUUUUUCUCGCGCGUAAUGCAAAUAUAUAGAAAAUUUGGGAACUUCACAGGGCUAUAUUUUCCUC